UACGUAGGGGGCGAGCGUUGUCCGGAUUUAUUGGGCGUAAAGAGCUCGUAGGCGGUUUGGUAAGUUGGAUGUGAAAUCUCCAGGCUCAACUUGGAGGGGUCAUUCGAUACUGCCAUGACUAGAGUUCGGUAGGGGAGUGUGGAAUUCCUGGUGGAGCGGUGAAAUGCGCAGAUAUCAGGAGGAACACCGGUGGCGAAGGCGGGUCUCUGGGCCGUAACUGACGCUGAGGAGCGAAAGCGUGGGGAGCAAACAGG
This 254-nucleotide ribosomal RNA is filed under the name uncultured bacterium. RNAcentral describes it as "partial 16S ribosomal RNA". It matches the Rfam family "Bacterial small subunit ribosomal RNA", at positions 524 to 776 of the family's 1533-position model. The record is from RNAcentral.